Molecule: ribosomal RNA, 253 nt
Filed under: uncultured bacterium
Lineage: Bacteria
Description: partial 16S ribosomal RNA
Rfam family: Bacterial small subunit ribosomal RNA
Source: RNAcentral
UACAGAGGGUGCAAGCGUUAAUCGGAAUUACUGGGCGUAAAGCGUGCGUAGGUGGUUUACUAAGUCAGGUGUGAAAUCCCCGGGCUCAACCUGGGAACUGCAUUUGAUACUGGUUUACUAGAGUGUGGUAGAGGGUAGUGGAAUUCCCGGUGUAGCGGUGAAAUGCGUAGAUAUCGGGAGGAACAUCAGUGGCGAAGGCGGCUACCUGGACUAACACUGACACUGAGGUACGAAAGCGUGGGGAGCAAACAGG